CUGCUUCACAGUUCCGGGAGGAACAAACACACAUGGCUCAGCAGGUUAAUGACUGAAGUAGAUGGUAUGUGCUGUCUACCAGGCUGCCAAGAGAUCUCUUCCUGAGAACAACAGGAGAAACUGCUCCCAACAGUGCUGAAAGGUGCUGAGAUCUGUGAGGCACGCUGCACUAUCUGCCUCUGCAGAGCAAAGAGGUCUACUGAGUACAGGGGAAUGGGUUGAUUUCCUCCAUGGAGCUGUGCGUCUUUCCCUAUAGCAAUGCUGGCUAACUGCAAGGUGGCGGUCUGGCUCUCUGGGGCCUUUUUGUAGUUUAUGGGAAACCGGCUCCACUCAUUGCUGUGUAGCAACCACAGGAAGUAAAAUGGGGCUGUGUGCAGAGCUGGUUCUUCUAGUAGCCUCUCCAGUGGAGGUGGGAAGGUAAGGACAAUGUGACCAGGUAAUAGCAGCAGCUUCACAUUCAGACGGGAGAGACAUUGU
This 477-nucleotide long non-coding RNA is filed under the name Mus spicilegus (steppe mouse). Its description in RNAcentral is "lncRNA (ENSMSIG00000025129.1)". Lineage: Eukaryota; Metazoa; Chordata; Mammalia; Rodentia; Muridae. The record is from RNAcentral.